RNAcentral lists this long non-coding RNA (642 nucleotides) under Marmota monax (woodchuck). Lineage: Eukaryota; Metazoa; Chordata; Mammalia; Rodentia; Sciuridae. The record is from RNAcentral.
UUUCAUUGGAAAUCAACCAUUGAAACCAAGACCAGCCUGUUCCUGUAGUGGAAUUAGCCUUGGAAGAAUUAUACAAAUACCUUUUAAGAGAAGGGGAAAGAGAGAAACCCACAGCAACUUGGCGCUUCUCCCAAGAAUGAUCUUGACAAGGCGUGAAUGUCGGGGGGAAAGAAUAGUACGGGGUACAAUAAGGAGAGGCCUUAAAAUAAGUGGCAUUGCUAGCGUUAGGAAAAGCCACCGGGAGUGACACCUGGGAAAUUAUAGCCAAAGUGGUGAUAUUCAUUUCGGUCGAAUUUGUAGUCUUUCCUGAGCCCUCCUGUUUCCCAUUUCUCAUUUGGCUAAGCACCGCAGCCAAGAUUCCCAGUGAGACCCUACUGUUCUGUAAGGGGUCCUCCCAAUUGGUCAAAUUGUUGUGCUGUAAGCGAAUACAAUGGGUUCUCAAGAAACUGAAGCAGAAAACUCCCGUGAUAUUAACACGAGAAAGGUUGAAAACCUGUUCCCCGUCUCCUCUAGGGGAGACACAAGGGGCAGACAUCUCACAUGAAGUAGAAAAAAGAGUGGGGAGGACACUAGAAUUUUUAUGGACCGGCAUCGGCAUCGGCCAUGUCCGAGCUACCGCCCACCACUGCAUCGGUAACAUCU